UAGAUCAUGGUGUACUCUCUCUCUCUCUCUCUCUCUCUCUCUCUCUCUCUCUAUAUAUAUAUAUAUAUAUAUAUAUAUAUAUAUAUAUAUAUAGAGAGAGAGAGAGAGAGAGAGAGAGAGAGAGAGAGAUUAGUUGUAGAUG
Molecule: microRNA precursor, 142 nt
Filed under: Marmota monax (woodchuck)
Lineage: Eukaryota; Metazoa; Chordata; Mammalia; Rodentia; Sciuridae
Source: RNAcentral